RNAcentral lists this ribosomal RNA (721 nucleotides) under uncultured bacterium. RNAcentral's name for it is "bacterial SSU rRNA". It matches the Rfam family "Bacterial small subunit ribosomal RNA", at positions 71 to 768 of the family's 1533-position model. The record is from RNAcentral.
AAGCCCCCGCAAGGGGGUGAGUAGAGUGGCGAACGGGUGAGUAACGCGUGGGUAAUCUGCCCUCGGGUGGGGGACAACACUCCGAAAGGGGUGCUAAUACCGCAUAAGACCACGACCUCCGCGGAGGAAGUGAGAAAAGACGGCCUCUGCUUGCAAGCUGUCGCCUGAGGAUGAGCCUGCGUCCGAUUAGCUAGUUGGUAGGGUAACGGCCUACCAAGGCAACGAUCGGUAGCUGGUCUGAGAGGACGACCAGCCACACUGGAACUGAGACACGGUCCAGACUCCUACGGGAGGCAGCAGUGGGGAAUAUUGCGCAAUGGGGGAAACCCUGACGCAGCAACGCCGCGUGAGUGAUGAAGGCCUUCGGGUCGUAAAGCUCUGUCGAGUGGAACGAAAAGGCGCGCGCUAACAUCGCGCGUCCAUGACGGUACCGCUAAAGGAAGGACCGGCUAACUCCGUGCCAGCAGCCGCGGUAAUACGGAGGGUCCUAGCGUUGCUCGGAAUUACUGGGCGUAAAGGGCGCGUAGGCGGCUUGUUAAGUCGAGUGUGAAAGCCCAGGGCUCAACCCUGGAACGUCAUUCGAAACUGGCAGACUUGAGUGCGGGAGGGGAGAGCGGAAUUCCUGGUGUAGAGGUGAAAUUCGUAGAUAUCAGGAGGAACACCGGUGGCGAAUGCGGCUCUCUGGACCGCAACUGACGCUGAGGCGCGAAAGCGUGGGUAG